Peromyscus leucopus (white-footed mouse) is the source of this 479-nucleotide long non-coding RNA. RefSeq lists it as uncharacterized. NCBI's taxonomy places the organism in Eukaryota, Metazoa, Chordata, Mammalia, Rodentia, Cricetidae. The record is from RefSeq and is a predicted model, not a curated record. The transcript has 4 exons.
CCGCAGGCUGGCUCCCACUCAGCGGCUGCCAAGGUGCAGGUGCAGAGGUUGGGCACCUUCGGGGUCGCAGCUCACAGGCCCCGUGUGCUCUCUGCUUGGCUGCAAGCCGAAUUUUUCCGAGGUGGCGAACGUUUGCCGUUGUGUUCCCACUGGCCUGCUCGCUUCUGUGGUCUACGGCUGUAUAUGAAGAAUCCCACAAGUGUGGUAUAGAGGCUCUGAAGGCCCUGGGGAUGAUGGAGUCAACAGAAGAAAUCCAGAUCUCUGAGUGACUCAAAUGAAUGUGACACAUACAGGAAAUAAACCUUGUGAUAUUUUAAAGUUUGAGCUGGCAAGAUGAACCAGUAAGACAACCCAAGACUGACUCUCAGAGCCCACUGUAGAAGAGAACAAACUCCACAAUGUUGACCUCUCACCUCCACAUGUGUACUGUGGGAUACACAGCCCCUACCCCCAGAUAAGAAAUAAAAACAAAUUAAUAA